GCGCGAAAAACUCUGCAAUAAGCGAAAGCUUGACAGGGUUAUUCUGAGUGAUUUCCGCUAAGGAAAUCUUUUGGCACCUCUAAAAAUGGUGCAGAAUAAGGGGUGGGCAAGCCUGGUGUCAGCCGCCGCGGUAAUACCAGCACCCCGAGUGGUCGGGACGAUUAUUGGGCCUAAAGCAUCCGUAGCCGGUUCUACAAGUCUUCCGUUAAAUCCACCUGCUCAACAGUUGGGCUGCGGAGGAUACUAUAGAGCUAGGAGGCGGGAGAGGCAAGCGGUACUCAGUGGGUAGGGGUAAAAUCCGUUGAUCCAUUGAAGACCACCAGUGGCGAAGGCGGCUUGCCAGAACGCACUCGACGGUGAGGGAUGAAAGCUGGGGGAGCAAACCGGAUUAGAUACCCGGGUAGUCCCAGCUGUAAACGAUGCAGACUCGGUGAUGAAUAGGCUUCGUGCCUUAUUCAGUGCCGCGAGGGAACGCCGUUAAGUCUGGCCGCCGUGGGGACGUACGGUCGACAAGACUAGAAAACGUUAAGGUAA
This 534-nucleotide ribosomal RNA is filed under the name uncultured archaeon. RNAcentral describes it as "bacterial SSU rRNA". It matches the Rfam family "Archaeal small subunit ribosomal RNA", at positions 339 to 865 of the family's 1478-position model. The record is from RNAcentral.